Molecule: non-coding RNA, 83 nt
Organism: Halomicronema hongdechloris C2206
Lineage: Bacteria; Bacillati; Cyanobacteriota; Cyanophyceae; Nodosilineales; Nodosilineaceae
Source: Rfam
GGGCGGAUGGCGAAAUUGGUAGACGCACCACACUCAAAAUGUGGCGGCCUCUGGCCAUGAGGGUUCGAGUCCCUCUCUGCCCA